Vicugna pacos (alpaca) is the source of this 398-nucleotide non-coding RNA. Lineage: Eukaryota; Metazoa; Chordata; Mammalia; Artiodactyla; Camelidae. The record is from RefSeq and is a predicted model, not a curated record.
GUCACUUCCGGAGGCGGAGCGAGCGGAGAGCAGACAGCUCCGUGAAGGAGAAACACUUUUUUUUUUGGUCCCAGUUGUCUUCAUGCAGUGGGAGUCCCCGCUCGAGUCCAGUGCCAAACCAGCAUGGAAUCUUUUCUGAAGACAUUGUAAGUGGCGAUUAAACCAACGCCCGUGGUGCUAACGGUGUCCAAAGCUCAAGGGACACAAGGACAAGAUGGGGAGCUAUGACCAAGUUUGUGCACAUGCCAUCAGUGGCAACUACAUCACGACUAUCUCCUGGCCACAAACUAUGUGAGAUGCCAUCGAUGACAACACAUGACCUUAUUUCAGAGAUGUAAAAAUAUUUUUUAAAAGCUAUCAUAAGUUUGAUGGAAUACAAUAUUAAAAUUUAAAUGUCU